RNAcentral lists this unclassified non-coding RNA (708 nucleotides) under Rhipicephalus microplus (southern cattle tick). RNAcentral's name for it is "uncharacterized LOC119170365, transcript variant X1". The record is from RNAcentral. Lineage: Eukaryota; Metazoa; Arthropoda; Arachnida; Ixodida; Ixodidae.
AUUCCUUUGAGAGGGCCCAUUGAAGGUGGAAUGCAGGUGACAAUUGAAGGGAGCCAACCUGGAAACGAGCCAAGAGAUCUAUGAUAAGGUCAAGAUUGGUGGAAUCCCUUGCAUUUCCACUGAAUACAACUUCUCAGUGAGGGUUGUGUGCAGGACCGGAGUAAGUGGGUCGCCGCUCAUGGUAGACAUGGUCGUUGGGAUCCGUGCUGGCAUCAGAAAGGGGCACAAGAAGUUCCAGUUCCAACAAGUCAUGGUUCGUGACAUUCAACCUUGCACUGGUCCCCAGUCGCGAGGCACUCGUCUCUACAUCAGCGGAUCGAACCUCGACAUUGACAACAACCUCACUCCGUACCUCGACAUCCUCCCCUGCACUGUGGACAAGUUCUCAUGGAACUUGAAGGUGACUUACACUGUCCGAAGAUACAUCUGUCGCACAAGCUGCUAAACAUGGCGGGCACUUUCAAAGGUUAACAGACUUCAGUGUGUUGAUAGCGAACGAUGCCUGUUCUCUGCAACGAACACAUCUGGAAUACCACAAAGCAGCUUGACAGCAAGCCAGCUACGACUACAGAACGUUGCAUGUGUCGGGAUGCAUCAGCAGUGCACACGUGUAACUGUGAAUAUGUGGAUCCGUGUUGUCGUUUCUGUGUGUCUGUGCCCAAAGCUUUGUUCACAUUUAUUUAUAAACUGCAAAAAAAAAAAGAUACA